RNAcentral lists this ribosomal RNA (263 nucleotides) under uncultured prokaryote. RNAcentral describes it as "partial 16S ribosomal RNA". It matches the Rfam family "Bacterial small subunit ribosomal RNA", at positions 526 to 788 of the family's 1533-position model. The record is from RNAcentral.
CGGAGGAUCCGAGCGUUAUCCGGAUUUAUUGGGUUUAAAGGGUGCGCAGGCGGGAGAUUAAGUCGGCGGUGAAAUUUUGCAGCUCAACUGUAAAAGUGCCUUCGAAACUGGUUUCCUUGAGUGUAGAUGAAGUAGGCGGAAUUUGUGGUGUAGCUGUGAAAUGCAUAGAUAUCACGAGGAACUCCGAUUGCGCAGGCAGCUUACUAAACUACUACUGACGCUCAGGCACGAAGGCGUGGGGAUCAAACAGGAUUAGAUACCCU